Molecule: ribosomal RNA, 484 nt
Filed under: uncultured bacterium
Lineage: Bacteria
Description: partial 16S ribosomal RNA
Rfam family: Bacterial small subunit ribosomal RNA
Source: RNAcentral
AUUGAACGCUGGCGGCAGGCCUAACACAUGCAAGUCGAGCGGAUGAAGGGAGCUUGCUCCUGGAUUCAGCGGCGGACGGGUGAGUAAUGCCUAGGAAUCUGCCUGGUCGUGGGGGAUAACGUCCGGAAACGGGCGCUAAUACCGCAUACGUCCUGAGGGAGAAAGUGGGGGAUCUUCGGACCUCACGCUAUCAGAUGAGCCUAGGUCGGAUUAGCCAGUUGGUGGGGUAAAGGCCUACCAAGGCGACGAUCCGUAACUGGUCUGAGAGGAUGAUCAGUCACACUGGAACUGAGACACGGUCCAGACUCCUACGGGAGGCAGCAGUGGGGAAUAUUGGACAAUGGGCGAAAGCCUGAUCCAGCCAUGCCGCGUGUGUGAAGAAGGUCUUCGGAUUGUAAAGCACUUUAAGUUGGGAGGAAGGGCAGUAAGUUAAUACCUUGCUGUUUUGACGUUACCAACAGAAUAAGCACCGGCUAACUUCGUG